GAAUAAGUGGUGGGCAAGACGGUUGCCAGCCGCCGCGGUAAUAACCGCGCCACGAGUGGUAGUCACGUUUAUUGGGUCUAAAGCAUCCGUAGCUGGUCUGACAAGUCCUCGGUGAAAUCUGGUAGCAAACUACCAGGCGUGCCGAGGAUACUAUCAGACUAGAGACUGGGAGAGGUGUGGAGUACUUCGGAGGUAGGGGUAAAAUCCUUUAAUCUCCGAGGGACUACCUGUGGCGAAGGCGCCACACUAGAACAGAUCUGACAGUGAGGGAUGAAAGUUAGGGGAGCGAUCGGGAUUAGAUACCCCGGUAGUCCUAACUGUAAACGAUGCCCGCUUGGUGUUACAGAUCCUUAGCGGAUCUGUUGUGCCGUAGUGAAGACGUUAAGCGGGCCACCUGGGGAGUACGACCGCAAGGUUGAA
Molecule: ribosomal RNA, 420 nt
Filed under: uncultured archaeon
Lineage: Archaea
Description: bacterial SSU rRNA
Rfam family: Archaeal small subunit ribosomal RNA
Source: RNAcentral